Molecule: unclassified non-coding RNA, 316 nt
Filed under: plant metagenome
Description: partial contains 5.8S ribosomal RNA, internal transcribed spacer 2, and large subunit ribosomal RNA
Rfam family: 5.8S ribosomal RNA (bases 1-105)
Source: RNAcentral
GAAAUGCGAUAACUAGUGUGAAUUGCAGAAUUCCGUGAAUCAUCGAGUCUUUGAACGCACAUUGCGCCCCCUGGUAUUCCGGGGGGCAUGCCUGUCCGAGCGUCAUUGCUGCCCAUCAAGCACGGCUUGUGUGUUGGGUCGUCGUCCCCUUUCCGGGGGGGACGGGCCCCAAAGGCAGCGGCGGCACCGCGUCCGAUCCUCGAGCGUAUGGGGCUUUGUCACCCGCUCUGUAGGCCCGGCCGGCGCUUGCCGAACGCAAAUCAAUCUUUUUCCAGGUUGACCUCGGAUCAGGUAGGGAUACCCGCUGAACUUAAGC